Molecule: ribosomal RNA, 419 nt
Filed under: uncultured bacterium
Lineage: Bacteria
Description: bacterial SSU rRNA
Rfam family: Bacterial small subunit ribosomal RNA
Source: RNAcentral
UAGGGAAUUUUGGACAAUGGGCGAAAGCCUGAUCCAGCGACGCCGCGUGAGGGAUGAAGGCCUUCGGGUUGUAAACCUCUGUUGUAAGGGAAGAAGCCACCGCAAGGAUGGUGACGGUACCUUACGAGGAAGCCCCGGCUAACUACGUGCCAGCAGCCGCGGUAAGACGUAGGGGGCAAGCGUUAUCCGGAUUCACUGGGCGUAAAGGGCGCGUAGGCGGCUACGGAAGUCCGGCGUGAAAUCCCAGGGCUCAACCCUGGAACUGCGUCGGAUACUCCGUUGGCUAGAGGAUGGUAGAGGCUCGGGGAACUAGCGGUGUAGCGGUGAAAUGCGCAGAUAUCGCUAGGAACGCCGGUGGCGAAGGCGCCGGGCUGGGCCAUUCCUGACGCUGAGGCGCGAAAGCUAGGGGAGCGAACCGG